RNAcentral lists this ribosomal RNA (483 nucleotides) under Triticum aestivum (bread wheat). Its description in RNAcentral is "partial small subunit ribosomal RNA". The record is from RNAcentral. Lineage: Eukaryota; Viridiplantae; Streptophyta; Magnoliopsida; Poales; Poaceae.
AUGACUGCCAAAGAGUUUGAGGAGCUUGCCCUCAAUGGCCACAAUUACCCUACAUGGGCUAUGGACAUCAAGAUCAGUCUUGCAUCCCGUGGGAUAGCGCGUGCAAUACAACCCCCGGAGACUCCUCUCCCGGAUGGGGCCAUGCCGCUGACAGAACAACAGAACUAUGCUGCCUUAUUCAUCAUAAGGCACCAUAUUCAUCCAGAUCUCAAGUCUGAGUAUUUACAAAAGGAAUCUCCUAGUACUCUGUUUCUGGCCCUCAAAACAAGGUAUGAACAGCAGAAUGCAGUAGUCCUGCCAGAAGCACUCCAUGAUUGGACUCAUCUCCAUCUUCAGGAUUUCAAGUCCAUUGGUGAGUACAAUCAUGCUGUUCAUAAGAUAUGUUCCAAACUGCGUUUUUGUGAGAAGGAACCUACCGAGGGGGAGAAGAUAGAGAAAACUUUGUCUACUAUGCUCCCUUCAGAUAGGAUCCUCCAACAGUAA